Molecule: transfer RNA, 74 nt
Rfam family: tRNA
About the family: Transfer RNA (tRNA) molecules are approximately 80 nucleotides in length.
Source: Rfam
GGACGUGUGGCUCAGUGGAUUAGAGCAUCGGAUUCCGGUUCCGAGGGUCGGGGGUUCGAAUCCCUCCACGUCCG